This is a long non-coding RNA of Mus musculus (house mouse), 6569 nucleotides long. RefSeq annotates it as predicted gene, 30554. The record is from RefSeq and is a predicted model, not a curated record. The transcript has 3 exons. Lineage: Eukaryota; Metazoa; Chordata; Mammalia; Rodentia; Muridae.
ACGACUAGUAUUAUUGAACACCUGGGUUCACCUAUCAGCUCCAUCAGGAAGUCCUUUUGAACUGGCCUUGCUUGCAGAGAUGAAACAAAUUGGCUCCACAAGGAAUAUAGUCAGCAGUGCAGUUGUUAUUCUGUAAAAUAUUAAUUCAUUCCAUCAACAAACAGCAUCCACGUGAGUGUGUGCGAGCGCACACCAAGUGUGUGUCAGGCAUCAAGGGACGAGGCACGGCAGGAAAGCUCUCAGGAGAAAGCACGGAUUGUGAAGGUCAAGUUUCUGUGCAAUCUUUACACCUGGAGCCAGGUCACAGGUGGAAGGAAACAUAUUACGCGAAUAUUCUUACAGAAGUUGACACAAGGCCUUUGGACAUGUUUUGCAGAUAAUCACAUGAGUUUAGCAGCUUCGUGGGUGAUGGUGGUCAUGAUGGUGGAGAGGAUGAUGGUGAUGGAAGCUGCAGGGAAGUUGUGGUCACAAGAAUGACAGUAAUGGAAUACCAAUUGGAAGCCAGACUUUGUUCUACGUCUUCAUCAGUCUGGCCUAAUCUAGUCAUCUCAGCGACCUUGACAUUGGCCCAGUGGUUACCCUCACUUUACAGGGGAGAAGACUCAGAUUCAGACUGGUUAGACAGCUGCCAUAUUGCAAGUGCUAGAGCCAGAAUUCAACCCAGGGCACCUACCUAUUUCCACAGUUACAAUUCGUGACCUUAAACAAAUACUGCUAGUGACCCACCUUUUUUAUCAUCCACUCCUUCUUCUUCUUGAUUAACAAUGCUCCAGUUUAACUCUAGUUAACUGUACACCUAGUAUGAGCAUCAGCCUUUCCAGACUCUCUUGCAGCUAUGGGAGGUUACAAGGUAAAAGCCAGGCUUUGACAAUGCUGGAGGAAUUCUCACCUCUCUCUUUAUUGUCUUGCCUGCCUGGGAAAACGACCUGGGGGUAUAGCAAUCACAAGCUAAGGCUCUGAAGGAGAACUACAGCAGCCAUGGUAUCUGAGAGCCUUUGCUCACAACUUGAGCUGCCUGCUUUCAAAGCUUUUGUAAUAAGAAAAGAACCAAGGCCUAGCUGGGCAGGUGGGAGUCAGAGUCAAGGACUUGCUAAUGCAAACAUGGAACAUCAAUCUUCCAUCUACUACUGUAACUCGGGGUGUCACACGGAGGACCAGUUCUCCAUCCUAAAACUUUACAGGACCAGCAACAAAAUUUGACUAUUGGUGAGUUCCUUUUGUUUUCCCCACCGCAACAAUAGAGGCAUUCAUGUAACCAUUUCAGUCAAUUCUGUCUCCUGGUUCUGGAAAACAGAAGUACAGAAUUAAUGUUUCUGGACUAAACUCAACACAUGGGCAGAGCAGGUUCUUCCCGUUGCUCUAGAAGGAAAUGCACCCCCAGCAUCUUGCAGCUCCUAGAAGCCACUGGCAUCUUGCUUCGUGGCUGCAUCGCCACCCCUCCUAGUGCCACUGCCCUCGUGUGGCCUUCCUUCCAUAGGCACGCUUUGCUAUGCUGCCCUCCAACAAGAAAGUGUAGAGCUGCCCUUAGAGACCACACAGAUUGUCUGCAUCAUCUACUUGCCUCCAAAUCCCUAACCUGACCAUAUCUGCAAUGUCUCUUUUGCAGUGUAACAUUCCCAAGUUUCUAGUAUUAGGACCUGGAUAUAGGAGCCAUGACCCCUGCUAUUUGAUUACUCCAUGCAUUUGUUCCAUAGCUGUUCACUGAAAAACAGGAAUUGUGCCGUCGAUAAAGGGGCAGCAGAGAAACAAUGCUUUGUCCUUGCAUCAUAUGCAAAAUGCCUUUAACAACACGCUCUGAUAAAACCCCUCGUCUGGUAUCCUUAACAAACACCAACAGAAAAAAGACAGGGUGCAGCAACUGGAAAUCAGAGUUAUUAGUGAAUUCUAACAUAUCAUCUGAAAAAGAUAUAAAGGACAACUGCCCCAGGGAAUACUGAAGAAACUCACCAAGGGAUAACAAAAUGAGUAAGACAAAACCUGGAAGCUCACAAUAAAGAGGAACACGGGUUAUUCGCAAACAUACCACCCAAGUGGGGCUCCCUGAGAAUUGUGGGAAAGAGGAGACAUGCAGGAUUGUGGGGAGGGGUGAGGUUUGCUGGUACUGAUGGGAAGAAAUAGGGUGGGAAUUGUGGGCAAGAGUGUGGUGGGAAUUGUGGGUAGGAGUGUAGGGGGAAUUGUGGGCACGAGUGUAGGGGGAAUUGUGGGCAGGAGUGUAGGGGGAAUUGUGGGUAGGAGUGUAGGGGGAAUUGUGGGUAGGAGUGGGGCUUACGGUGACAUGUGGGAAGAAACAGGGCUUACUGGGAACUGCGGAAAGACAAUUUCUCAACACUUUGACCUAAGAAUGUCACCUUCUGGCCACAGACUGAAGGAAGCCCAAUACAUUGGAAUUGCAUAAUAAACAGAGCAAAUAGCUAAAGCCAAACAGGGAGCCAUCUUUGGGAAGGGUGCCAAACCGAACUCUUGUGUAACUCAGGGGACCUCUGUGGAUGCCACAGACAGGACUCUGAAAUGGUUACUGGCACGUGGGAAAGCAAAUCUUCAUGAGAACUCCAACCUCCUGAGAAGUCGACACAACAAUGCAUGAAACCCCUUCUGGACUGGAUUCGCCCUGUCAGAAUCUUCUAGUGUAAAAUGCCCAGGGGAAGCAUGGGUAUUAUUGCCCACGACACGAGUCCCCAGAGCCUUCCGAUCUCAAGCUUUCUUUUUCUCACUUAACCCUAUUUUUGGAAGAAAGAAGAAAAGCUAAACUUUUUACUAACUAUAAAUGCACUCAAGCAACACAAAUAUGAAUUACUGGAAGAUAAUCACUUUUGAAGAGUUAAACACUAACACACAGACGCUUUUACAGUCUAUAUAUAAACACAGCUCGAACCAAUUGUGGGUAUGUAAGCCACCGAGGAAGGCCCAUGUGAGGGACAUCUGUACUGGACCUGUUCCCAAUCAAUGGAAAGCAAUUCUUCUUGGUGGUCUGACCACUUAACUUAAACAAAAAGGCUUGAGCCAACUUCUAUCAAUGAGCCUUUCUUCCAACCAAAGAAAAAAGGAAAAAGAAAAAAAAAAAAAACAGAAGAAUUGGCUACUGGUUACGGCAGUGUUGUGCCACAAGGUUAAUAAUGAUGGGUUUUAGGUCACUGGCAAUUUCUCAUUUCAAAUUAACUUGAACCAUCAACCCUCAAGCGUGGAUCGUUUAAUGUGGGCUGUGUGGUACCCAUGGUGCUCCAUGGACACCCACGUGGUGGGUGGGUGCCAUUACUCUGUCCUUGGAUCAUUACUGAGAUAGGGCUUUCCAUCCUUAAGAAAAAAAAUUAAAAAGAAAAGGAAAGGAAAGAGGAAAACAAAGGGUAAAAAUAUACAACAGCGCCUGUUUUGAGAUCCAAGAAUAUUUUGUGGACACACUUGGUUGAAACCUGGAUGGGCUGGAGACUCUGAAUUGGUUUGGGGAAUUGGAACUAAUUAUGAUUUUUUUUUACACUUUUAGAACUUAGUGGGGAAUUUUGAAAUAUCCCUACAUCAUGAGAAGAUGGUUAUCUUCCCCACAUUGCCCAUAGUUUUUUUUUUUCUUGCGUGUUUCUUUCCCUUUCAAAUGCUCCCAGCACUGACACUCACCUGGAGGCUUUGUUCAUCAUGGAUGUUGGGAACAGGAACUAGAGGAUGCUAGCUCACUCCUCUUUUUCUAUUAACAGAGUCUCCCUGGUCACCCAAGCUGAUGGUCCUACUCGCCAGAGGAUAACCUUGCCUUCGCAGAUGAGAGAAGCAAAGGACCAGAGUAUGAGCAGAUGCUUACAAAGGGACCACCAAGCCUGUCCUAACAGAGGUUAGCCUGGAGGUCAAGAGGAGCUGAGAAACCACGGAGGUUCAGAGGGUCAGAUGCAGUUACGGCGUGAGAAGAGCUUAUCCCUGAGAGGACAUGAAGCUCUGAAGUGUCUCACCUACAGACAAAUGUACUAUAUGGCACAACCUUUGGGGUGGACACUAAGUAACACUCACAGACUUGUGUUCAGUGUUCCCUCGCCAAGCGCCUUCCUGAGAGUCACUGUAGAGGCUGUGCUCUUCCAACCCAGUGUUGCUGCAGAGUUCUCGACAGACUCCCUGCCUAUUGAUGGAAAAAGAAGCUGCCACAAGUCAGCCCAACAGACGGUGUCCAUGGUGAAUUGAGGUACAUUUGGUAGAAUUGAGCCUCUUAGGGGUUAUGAUAAAGGAUACGUUGUACUGGUUAAAAAACAAAACAGAAGAAAACCCCAUGUAUUCCGUCUAUAAUGUGUAUAUGUUCAUCAAACUCCAGCAGUCUACUUGAUAUUGUCGUACUGUCUCUAAAGAGGAAACUAAAGGACAUAUUUUGGGGGGCAUUGAAUGGAAAUUAUUCCUUAAUAUAGUUCUACACUAACAGACUUACAACAUUUUUUCCAAAUUAUCUACCCAGAGUCGUGGGGGCUGCUGCUGGCAGGCUUCCUAUGCGAAGUCAUAAUUAGCAGAAAAUGGAAAAAUCCAAGUAAGAUGGGGGCUAUGAAGCCGGGUUCAGGGACCGAGGGCAACUGUUGAUCCAUGAGAAGAUCAAAGCUGGGUAGAAACCAUUCCUGGGUUUACACAGCUGCAUGUUCCAUGCAGGAGCUCUAAAACAAACACAGCCAGGACCUGAGGGGGCCGUCUUGUGAUAGGGAGUAUGUGGGUGUCAACGAAUCUCCAGGACAUCAAGUGACCCCAGGGGCUGGAGGCCACCGCACUGCAGAGCUAGAAAGGGAAGCUGGUGCUUUCCCCACAAUCCAGAACUUGUCUUUGUUGAGGCAAAAUUUUUUAUAUUUCACUAAUCCGGCCUUCUACCAACAUCAUAAGGAGGGGGGUCAUUAACGACAUACAAGAACGUCGUGGAGUUUCAUAAACACGACCUGAGAAAAGUGUAUUGGUCAGAGCUUAUUAAUCUGAAAAUGAGAAACUAGCCACUCCAGCUCCUCCAACUGAGUUGCUGUGUAUGGCGAGCCGAGUGAGACCCAGAGCUUGCAAAACUCCUUUAGGUACAUAAAUCCCUAAACCCAGUAAUAACAGAGCCAUAUGUUACUGUGUUUGUGGGUAUGAAUUGCUGUAUGAGACGCAAACACAACAGCAGCUCCCACUAUUGUUUGAAUUCAUUAAAAAUAACACCAUCUCAUAAGCUUGAAAAUGUUGAUUUUUAUUUUAUUUUAUUUUAUUUUUGUAUUAUACAAUUUUCAUAUUUCCCUAGUGUAUGGAAAUAUAGUGUCUUUACAUGGUUGUUUUCAACUUGAUAUACAUGCAAUAUUAGGAAAUGAAAAUUAUGUGUAUAUAUAUACACACAUACAUAUAUGAACUCUGUGGUUCAUGUAUUAGAAAACAAUAUGUUUUGCUCAUUAAAGGCGCCAAUAUAAAUGCUAUAAACCAUGAAAUUACCUUUGAGCCCUUCCUGAAAUAACCAGUUCACAAACAAAUGAUCCAUACAGAAAGGCAAAGGGGAGAUUACAAUAAGACUAAGUCACAUUUUCAUUUCAGAAUUGUUUUUAAUAUAAAAAAGCAUUAUUGCCACAAAAACCAACAUCUGGGGCAGGUAUAUCCAAUUUGUGGAGGAAAUAUCAAACGGUACAGGCUGAGAAUAUAAGUUCAAAGUGGGGGCUCUACGUGUUUUCCAAAUGGGAUACAGAACUCACAUUUACAACAAAUUAUCCCAAUAAGAGAAAUUUACUUUUUGGUUUGCUCAGCCCAGAGAGCCGGCGCAAAGGCUGUGGUAGCAAAAGCCCUUCACUAAAGUGAGCUUGAUGGUGUUCAGACCCUAAGGUCAUAGUGAUGACCAGUGGACACUGUGGGCAGAAGGGAACUCACCCUGUAACUCAGCAUGCUCAAACUGAAACUAUCAGUCUUUUCAAGCCAUUUGUGCACUAUGCUUCCCAGACAAAUAUCAUCAACACCAGCUGGGAAUCCAAGAAUGUGGGGCAUUGGGUCCCAUUCCGAAAGUCUUGAAAUAAAAGGCUCUGGGAUGGCGUCCUGGGAUGUCUUCUAAAAGGUCCUCAAGAUGCUGUUAUGUGCUCUCUCUUGAGAACAUGUACCACGGACAGACAUGAGAGUUAAAGAUAACGAUUCACUCUCCUCUGAGACUACAAGGAGCCUCCACAGGUUCUUCAACCUGCUUCCAAGCCAUUGAUCCCCACUCUCUCACAAUGCCAAAGGAACAGAAGCUAAGGCUUUGUGCACAUCUGCUCAGAUUGAGCUAUGCCAUGCUUUCUGCCCUAACGUAUAUGAACGGCAAAGCUUUCGACUAUACAGGCUCAGCUAACACUGCCAUGACUGAAGACAGAAACCAAGGUCACAAGACACAAGACACUCCCAAAAGUCUUCCGGGUCUUAAGACAGCAGACACAGCAGAAACAGGAAGAGUCCAGACCUCUGAGCAUGGUGUUCUGCAAUAGCUGAGCCUCCCUGUGUGAGUCCUCAGUGCAAGUCUACAUGUCUACUUUUUCCAGAUCUUGUUGGCAACUCAUUCGUGCAUUCAUCCAUUCUUUGCUUUGUGUGUUUGUGCAUUUAGUAAGCCAUUCAUUCAUGUAAUAAGAAACACUGACUUAAUCAUC